UUCCUCAUAUGCAUUGGAGUCAGAUAUGAUUUCUCUUUGUGCUAGUUCAGCUUUUCUAGACUAGUGUCGAUGUCAGAUCUUUGUUUUCCUCAUAGUCAUUUUGACUUAGAAACCUGCACAAUUAAGAAAAAUAUUAGGGGUACAAAAUUGUUUCAUUCUUUGUUACCAUCAAAGCUUAGAGAUAUAUUGAAGAAUUAAAAUCUUGUUCUAACAAUCUCCCUUUUUUUAUGAUGUCAAAAACUCAUACUUUUGAUGAAACGAUACUACUUUUCAAAGAUACAAAUUUAAAUGAAUCAGAGUCGGAUAGAGAAUGACUCCCCUUGAGAUUAGAAAUCUCCCCCGGAGUCUGAUACUUAGAAACGGGUUUCUAGGUAGAGAAUUUAUUACCAGACCUUCUUAGGUUUCUUGUCUUAUUUUAUUUGUUUCUCAGAUACAGAUUCAUUUUUCCUUUGUUUAGAUUGAUCCUGUAAAAAGGAAUAGACUACACAAUAAUUUUAAUGUUAGAGUGUAAGCAGUGCAUUUCUGAGAGUUAGAUACGUUAUUUCAUCAAAAAGACUUUUAUUUAUUUCUCCCCCUUUUUAUCAGACUCAAAAAGUUAAUGAAAUGACAAGUAAUAAAUUCAUAGAAGGAACAAAAUUUCAUUGAUAAGAAAGAGAGAUGCAAUGCAGAAAGAAAUAGAAGAAAAGGCCUCAGAGGCAAAAACUCUUAGAAAAAAAACAAAGAAAAAAUUUCCUAGAAUGCAUAAGGGUUUGGAGGAAGAGGCAUCCUCUAAGUAGUUGAGCAAGCAGAUUCUAGAUGCUGGAGUUGACUUGAUACUGUUGGUCGAUUUUGGCUCUGACCAGUUGUUGUUCUUUCUGUAGCUCUUCCAGAGUCUUGAGGAAUAGAGGAGCUAGGUCAAAUUUAGAUGAUUCACCUCGAGUCAGAGCAGCCUCAGUUGUAUUCUCAACAUCUUCUGUAGCUUUUUGAGCAGCUUCAACGGCCAAUGCUUCAACUUCAUUUUUUUUCCCUAGUUGCAGCCUCUGCAGCAGCUUUCUCAGUUGUCUCCUUGGUGUCAUACCCAAAUUUGUUUGGGUAGUUUAAAACUUUCAUUAUCUUUUUAGCCCGAAAGCAUGAUGCACAGAUUUAGGGCUUGUGGAUCUUACUAGGAGGAGGAAAUUAGAGUUUCCUUGUUAUUACCCUAACCCAGGUUCAACAAAGCUCCAUAAACCCUAAUUAGGUGUAACAUUCAUGGUGUGGCCUCUUAACCUUAAUUUCAUCUACCUUUUUCAUCAUUCAUGGUGCUUGACUUCAUCUACUUGGUCAAAAUUUCAUUCAAUGUUCGUUUGUUCUUAACCCUUGGUUAUUAUGGUCCCCGUGUUUGUAAAGUUUGGACUCAUAAUGCUAAAAUAAAUAUCACAUGAUCCACAGUGCAUCUGGGGAUCCAAAUUACAGACGAGAUUAGGUUCAUUAAACCAUAUUUUCUUUCAUUUUAACAAAUAUCCUAUUUCCAUUUUUCAACAAAAUUAUGUAUCUCCAUUUUAAUUCUUUUGACAGGUUUCCUUUAUUUUUAUCUCAAUUUUCAUUUAUGUCUCAUCUUAAAAGAAUAAUACAUUUUCAUUUGAACUAGUAAAUUCAUUUUUUUUUCUUUUUCUUCUUUAACAGCCACUUCUAUCCUCCAUUUUUUUACAUUAUUUCUUUUGUCUAAAUGCCUAACUUCCAUUAUAAACAACAUUUCUCUUAUGUAAAUAUUGCUUUUAUAAUAAACUUGCACUUAGGAUAGAAGGUUUUAAACUUUUCAUCAUUAGAUUUUUUUCAUUUAACUGUUUAUAUCAGUAGAAGGCAUGGCCCACAACAAAAGACACAAAAAGUACCCUAGUAACCACCAAUAGAAUACAUCCGUGAAGAGAGGAGGAAAAGUUACAAUGCAGAAAAGGACAAAAAUACAAAAAAUGUUGAUGAAGGAUCUUGAACGAUUUCUCACGCACCACAUCCCCAAUUCCUCACCCACUUGCACAAAAUCAGGAAUGAAGUGCCGCCUUCUAUUCCUGAUUUUGUGCAAGUGGGUGAGGAAUUGGGGAUGUGGGAGAGGAAUUGGGCUUGAAGAUUUUUAGCUAACUGGUGACCUUUUGUGAAACUUUUUAGCAUAUUAUCGACGCUCUAGAUCCUCAUUUCAUUUAUGCGUUUUGCUGUAAUAAAGUUUCUGUAGUACUUAAGGUCUUGCUUGCUCAGAUUUUCCGUGUGAAAUUCUGAGAGGAAGUGUUGAAUUAAGCUUUCAAUGGAAGUAUACAGAUGAAUUCCAGCAACAUAACCUUAUCCUCUCCAUUUUGUAUACUUCCACUGAAAGCUUAAUCCAAAACUUCCUCUCAGAAUUUCACACGGAAAAUCUGAGCAAGCAAGAGCUUAAGUACUACAGAAACUUUAUUACAGCAAAACGCAUAAAUGAAAGGAGGACCUGAAGCGUCGAUACUAUGCUAAAAAGUUUCACAAAAGGUCACCAGUUAGUUAAAAAGCUUCAAGCCCAAAAAAGUUCAGAUCUUCUUGUCCUUACAAAUGGAUUGAUUUUAGGUGAACAAAAACAUAGAAGAGGUUAGGAUAAGGAACUUAAGGUAGAUCAACCAAAAUGAACGGAAAUAUACCUUAGGUAAUCACUUCCGCCGGAGUUUUGCAAGAUUCAUGAGGCUCCGGCGUGACCCUUUUUGCCGUUGCUUUAAAUUUUGUUUUCUCUUCUUUUAUUCAUCGAAAACUCCUUCAUUUGUUGUAUGUUUGCUAUAACCUGAUGAUUAUUGAUAUCCACCCAUGUUAGGUUUAGAUCUGUGAGAAGUUGGAGUUUUUUUUCCAAGUCUGAUAAGGCAUUUUAGAUUCUGAACUUCUAUUCAAACUUGUUGGUUUUGAUUGAUUGUUAAUUUGUAGUUUUUUUUGGUUUUCAAUUAAUGAACCCCAACCGGUGUUCAUCGAGCUUUCUGGUGAAAACGUUGUUAGAUCCGUAAUUUUGGUUGUUGGCGUGGGUUUUUAUGGUCAUGGUUCGGAUUAAAGAUGGAGAGAAAACAAAUAGAGAAAAUAAUUCAUGAGUAUAGAGGGUUUGUUCUGUGAUAGAAAUAAGGGAAUAUAAUUAAUAGUUUAUUUAUAUAUUUUUAUUUUUUUAAAAAAAGUUGCAUUCAUUUCUAUUAAAGACGUUUGCUUUUAAAUUCAAUGAGGAAAAGAUAUUUGGAAUCUGAAAAGCUAAGUCUAUGAAACAACCAUUAAUGGGCCUCAUUAGAUUCACGGUACCUACAUUGGCG
This 3257-nucleotide long non-coding RNA is filed under the name Lathyrus oleraceus (garden pea). RNAcentral describes it as "Pisum sativum (pea) long non-coding RNA (PSAT_LNC042383)". The record is from RNAcentral. Lineage: Eukaryota; Viridiplantae; Streptophyta; Magnoliopsida; Fabales; Fabaceae.